GGGGGGGUGCUUACCAUGCAGUCGAACGCUGAAGCCUGGUGCUUGCACCGGGUGGAUGAGUGGCGAACGGGUGAGUAAUACGUGAGUGACCUGCCUUUGACUCUGGGAUAAGCCUGGGAAACUGGGUCUAAUACCGGAUGCGACUACUGCCCGCAUGGGCUGGUGGUGGAAAGGGUUAUGUACUGGUCUUAGAUGGGCUCACGGCCUAUCAGCUGGUUGGUGGGGUAAUGGCCUACCAAGGCGACGACGGGUAGCCGGCCUGAGAGGGUGACCGGCCACACUGGGACUGAGACACGGCCCAGACUCCUACGGGAGGCAGCAGUGGGGAAUAUUGCACAAUGGGCGCAAGCCUGAUGCAGCGACGCCGCGUGAGGGAUGACGGCCUUCGGGUUGUAAACCUCUUUCAGCAGGGAAGAAGCGGAAGUGACGGUACCUGCAGAAGAAGCGCCGGCUAACUACGUGCCAGCAGCCGCGGUAAUACGUAGGGCGCAAGCGUUGUCCGGAAUUAUUGGGCGUAAAGAGCUCGUAGGCGGCUUGUCGCGUCUGCUGUGAAAGCCCGGGGCUUAACUCCGGGUGUGCAGUGGGUACGGGCAGGCUAGAGUGCAGUAGGGGUAACUGGAAUUCCUGGUGUAGCGGUGAAAUGCGCAGAUAUCAGGAGGAACACCGAUGGCGAAGGCAGGUUACUGGGCUGUUACUGACGCUGAGGAGCGAAAGCAUGGGGAGCGAACAGGAUUAGAUACCCUGGUAGUCCAUGCCGUAAACGUUGGGCACUAGGUGUGGGGGACAUUCCACGUUUUCCGCGCCGUAGCUAACGCAUUAAGUGCCCCGCCUGGGGAGUACGGCCGCAAGGCUAAAACUCAAAGGAAUUGACGGGGGCCCGCACAAGCGGCGGAGCAUGCGGAUUAAUUCGAUGCACGCGAAGAACCUUACCAGGCUUGACU
RNAcentral lists this ribosomal RNA (941 nucleotides) under Kocuria sp. RNAcentral's name for it is "bacterial SSU rRNA". It matches the Rfam family "Bacterial small subunit ribosomal RNA", at positions 38 to 986 of the family's 1533-position model. The record is from RNAcentral. Lineage: Bacteria; Bacillati; Actinomycetota; Actinomycetes; Micrococcales; Micrococcaceae.